UUUAUACUAAGUGACCCAUAGGUUGAUGAGGCGGUGACCGUGGCGGUGGAGGAGGAGGAGGUAGCCAACGCUGUUUAUAUAUAUAUACAUAUAUUUAAAAAUAUUGGGACAUAUAAAAAAAGACAACUUUGUUCCGCAGAGUAGCUGUUGACAUUAUAGUUGCGCAGGAACUUUGACUCUAGAGAAUCUCGGGCAAAUCGCACAUCCCUGUGGUGGCGACUUUGCAUGCGGAUGUCAUCCAUAUCAACUUUCAAUGCCAGUUUCUGCGCCUACCAUGGUGACCACGGGUAACGGGGAAUCAGGGUUCCAUUCCAUACAGGGACCCUGAGAAACGGCUACCACAUACAAGGAAGGCAUCAGGCGCGCAAAUGACCCACUCCCGACGCGGGAAGGUAGUGACGACAAAUAACAAUACAGGACUAUUUAGAGGCCCUGAAAUUGUAAUGAGUCCAUUUGAAAUCCUUUAACUCUGAUCAAUUGGAGGGAAGUCUGGUGCAGAGUCACUGACCCGUGCAUGCUGCAGCUGAAA
This is a non-coding RNA of Pelobates cultripes (western spadefoot toad), 529 nucleotides long. The record is from the annotation of a GenBank genome assembly. Lineage: Eukaryota; Metazoa; Chordata; Amphibia; Anura; Pelobatidae.